GAUCUUCUCCUUCAUGGGAGAUGAUUGAAAGAUGGUUUCGGCUAUCACUUACAGAUGGGCCCGCGGUGCAUUAGCUAGUUGGUGAGGUAACGGCUCACCAAGGCAACGAUGCAUAGCCGACCUGAGAGGGUGAUCGGCCACACUGGGACUGAGACACGGCCCAGACUCCUACGGGAGGCAGCAGUAGGGAAUCUUCCGCAAUGGACGAAAGUCUGACGGAGCAACGCCGCGUGAGUGAUGAAGGCUUUCGGGUCGUAAAACUCUGUUGUUAGGGAAGAACAAGUACAAGAGUAACUGCUUGUACCUUGACGGUACCUAACCAGAAAGCCACGGCUAACUACGUGCCAGCAGCCGCGGUAAUACGUAGGUGGCAAGCGUUAUCCGGAAUUAUUGGGCGUAAAGCGCGCGCAGGCGGUUUCUUAAGUCUGAUGUGAAAGCCCACGGCUCAACCGUGGAGGGUCAUUGGAAACUGGGGAACUUUGAGUGCAGAAGAGAAAAGCGGAAUUCCACGUGUAGCGGUGAAAUGCGUAGAGAUGUGGAGGAACACCAGUGGCGAAGGCGGGUUUUUUGGUCUGUAACUGACGCU
This 586-nucleotide ribosomal RNA is filed under the name Priestia megaterium. RNAcentral describes it as "bacterial SSU rRNA". It matches the Rfam family "Bacterial small subunit ribosomal RNA", at positions 173 to 747 of the family's 1533-position model. The record is from RNAcentral. Lineage: Bacteria; Bacillati; Bacillota; Bacilli; Caryophanales; Bacillaceae.